UUAUAUUUGAGAGUUUGAUCCUGGCUCAGGAUGAACGCUGGCGGCGUGCCUAACACAUGCAAGUCGAGCGAUCUCUUCGGAGAGAGCGGCGGACGGGUGAGUAACGCGUGGGUAACCUGCCCUGUACACACGGAUAACAUACCGAAAGGUAUACUAAUACGGGAUAACAUAUGAAAGUCGCAUGGCUUUUGUAUCAAAGCUCCGGCGGUACAGGAUGGACCCGCGUCUGAUUAGCUAGUUGGUAAGGUAAUGGCUUACCAAGGCAACGAUCAGUAGCCGACCUGAGAGGGUGAUCGGCCACACUGGAACUGAGACACGGUCCAGACUCCUACGGGAGGCAGCAGUGGGGAAUAUUGCACAAUGGGCGAAAGCCUGAUGCAGCAACGCCGCGUGAGCGAUGAAGGCCUUCGGGUCGUAA
RNAcentral lists this ribosomal RNA (418 nucleotides) under Paraclostridium bifermentans. RNAcentral describes it as "bacterial SSU rRNA". It matches the Rfam family "Bacterial small subunit ribosomal RNA", at positions 1 to 428 of the family's 1533-position model. Lineage: Bacteria; Bacillati; Bacillota; Clostridia; Peptostreptococcales; Peptostreptococcaceae. The record is from RNAcentral.